AGUGAACGCUGGCGGUAGGCCUAACACAUGCAAGUCGAACGGCAGCACACUAAGAGCUUGCUCUUACGGGUUGCGAGUGGCGGACGGGUGAGGAAUACAUCGGAAUCUACUUUUUCGUGGGGGAUAACGUAGGUAAACUUACUCUAAUACCGCAUACGACCUACGGUUGAAAGCAGGGGAUCUUCGGACCUUGCGCGAUUGAAUGAGCCGAUGUCGGAUUAGCUAGUUGGCGGGGUAAAGGCCCACCAAGGCGACGAUCCGUAGCUGGUCUGAGAGGAUGAUAGGCCACACUGGAACGGAGACAGGGUCCAGACUCCUACGGGAGGCAGCAGUGGGGAAUAUUAGACAAUGGGCGCAAGCCUGAUCCAGCCAUACCGAGUGGGUGAAGAAGGCCUUCGGGUUGUAAAGCCCUUUUGUUGGGAAAGAAAAGCAGCAGGUUAAUACCCCGCUGUUCUGACGGUACCCAAAGAAUAAGCACCGGCUAACUUCGUG
RNAcentral lists this ribosomal RNA (492 nucleotides) under uncultured bacterium. RNAcentral's name for it is "partial 16S ribosomal RNA". It matches the Rfam family "Bacterial small subunit ribosomal RNA", at positions 29 to 507 of the family's 1533-position model. The record is from RNAcentral.